This 254-nucleotide ribosomal RNA is filed under the name uncultured bacterium. RNAcentral describes it as "partial 16S ribosomal RNA". It matches the Rfam family "Bacterial small subunit ribosomal RNA", at positions 524 to 776 of the family's 1533-position model. The record is from RNAcentral.
UACAGAGGUCUCAAGCGUUGUUCGGAUUCAUUGGGCGUAAAGGGUGCGUAGGCGGCGCGGCAAGUCGGGUGUGAAAUCUUGGAGCUUAACUCCGAAACUGCAUUCGAUACUGCCGUGCUUGAGGACUGGAGAGGAGACUGGAAUUUACGGUGUAGCGGUGAAAUGCGUAGAUAUCUGGAGGAACACCGGUGGCGAAGGCGGCAUCCUGGACCAACACUGACGCUGAGUGAGCGAAAGCCAGGGGAGCAAACGGG